AAGAGAGAAAGAAACCGAACUAGAACUGCUAACUCUACGACCCAAAGUUAAACUCUUUGGCUCCCUUA
Molecule: transfer RNA, 68 nt
Filed under: Coleonyx variegatus
Lineage: Eukaryota; Metazoa; Chordata; Lepidosauria; Squamata; Eublepharidae
Description: tRNA-Ser specifying AGY codons
Source: RNAcentral